This 564-nucleotide ribosomal RNA is filed under the name uncultured bacterium. RNAcentral describes it as "bacterial SSU rRNA". It matches the Rfam family "Bacterial small subunit ribosomal RNA", at positions 338 to 916 of the family's 1533-position model. The record is from RNAcentral.
CCUACGGGAGGCAGCAGUGGGGAAUCUUGCGCAAUGGGCGAAAGCCUGACGCAGCCACGCCGCGUGCGGGAUGAAGGCCCUAGGGUUGUAAACCGCUUUUAACAGGAACGAAAAUGACGGUACCUGUAGAAUAAGGUGCGGCCAACUACGUGCCAGCAGCCGCGGUGACACGUAGGCACCAAGCGUUGUCCGGAUUUAUUGGGCGUAAAGAGCUCGUAGGCGGUUCAGUAAGUCGGGUGUGAAAACUCUGGGCUUAACCCAGAGACGCCACUCGAUACUAUUGUGACUAGAGUUCGGUAGGGGAGCGGGGAAUUCCUAGUGUAGCGGUGAAAUGCGCAGAUAUUAGGAGGAACACCGGUGGCGAAGGCGCCGCUCUGGGCCGAUACUGACGCUGAGGAGCGAAAGCGUGGGUAGCAAACAGGAUUAGAUACCCUGGUAGUCCACGCCGUAAACGGUGGGCACUAGGUGUGGGUUCCAACCAACGGAAUCCGCGCCGUCGCUAACGCAUUAAGUGCCCCGCCUGGGGAGUACGGCCGCAAGGUUAAAACUCAAAUGAAUUGACGG